AACACCCACAAACAACGUCACGACGCAACGUGGUUAAACAGUACGUUUAUUAAAGUAACUGGGUGAACGACAUCGGAGCGGACUGCAAAUCGCAACGCUACUUUCUCGAGUGCAGAUACUCUUCGAGACGGCUAAACAACGUGUCCAACUCGCUGAGACCUUUCCGCGUGCCGUUAUCCGAUUUCCUUUCCGCCUCCUGAGACAGCCGACUAAUCACGGACUUAUCUCCGCAACCUAACAGAGGCUGGGAGCCCGACAAAAGUAAAACAGCGUGCUAUGAACACGUUGUUACCUCUGCGCGGACAGCGCCGCCACAGAGACACUUACGCAUUGCCGCAUGUCUUUGUAGAUGGAUUCUAGCGUCGAGCGCAUACUAUGCAAUUCCGUCUUAAGUCCAGGAUAGACGUGGUCGCCUGCGGGGAACACGAUCUCCAGAUACCGCCUCAACAACCAGUCCAUGACGCUGCAUCGCCAACAGCCUUUGACCACCGUACCGUCGAGCCACACGGAGUAGUCGUCCUCACGUUGCUACAAGAGGAAAACUACGUCACUCGACACGCGGAAAAGAAAGACCGUCGCAAUAAACCGUACCUACGUGACCUACCAACGUAGGUUUUACUCGAUGAAAGGUGACGCGGAGAUCUUGCAAUCUGGUCGCGUAAUCCUCCGGACGACACUGCGGCUUUGUAUUCUUUAUCGUCGUCGUCGUCGUCGUCGCCGCCGGCUUCGCCUCCUCGGAAGCGCCUAGAAAAAAGACGAUCAGGACCAGAGAGGAAGAGACCAUCACCGACAGCAUCGCCGCAGCAUGCCGCCCCAAUCCGCCGCCCAACUGCGCGUCCCAGAUACCACUCGUAGACUGUCAGCCUCGCGAGGAGACACCGCGGACCGGGGAAACGGAUAAGUUUACGAACAGAAAUCUCAAGAGAAAGACGCUGACCCGGCAAGUACCGUCACGGAGACACGGUGGUUUUUAUUGAAUUUCCAGUGUAUCGAGCCACCGUGAUGCAGGUACGGUGGUUUUAUGUGAAGUGCCGCUAUCUAUAGGCGAUGUGUUCCCUGACGGUGUGUGUUUUUUGGGGAUAGACAACGUGGUUCUUGUACGUGGUUUUUACCCUGCUCAAUAAAGUCACGUUUUCCUUACACGGUGUUGUGUC
RNAcentral lists this small RNA (1154 nucleotides) under Human betaherpesvirus 5. Its description in RNAcentral is "RNA5.0". The record is from RNAcentral. Lineage: Duplodnaviria; Heunggongvirae; Peploviricota; Herviviricetes; Herpesvirales; Orthoherpesviridae.